Molecule: ribosomal RNA, 414 nt
Filed under: uncultured microorganism
Description: bacterial SSU rRNA
Rfam family: Archaeal small subunit ribosomal RNA
Source: RNAcentral
GCGCAGCAGGCGAGAAUCCUUCGCAAUGCGGGAAACCGCGACGAGGGGACUCCCAGUGCCUACGCUCAGCGUAGGCUGUUCCCGAGCCUAGAAAGCUCGGGGAGUAAGGGCUGGGUAAGACGGGUGCCAGCCGCCGCGGUAAUACCCGCAGCCCGAGUGGUGGCCACUAUUAUUGGGCCUAAAGCGUCCGUAGCCGGCCCGGUAAAUGCCUGGGUAAGUCGUGAGGCCUAACCUCACGAAUUCCGGGUAGACUGCCGGGCUAGGGACCGGAGGAGGGAGAGGGGUACUCCAGGGGUAGGGGUGAAAUCCUGUAAUCCCUGGAGGACCACCGGUGGCGAAGGCGCUCUCCUAGGACGGGUCCGACGGUGAGGGACGAAAGCCAGGGGAGCGAACCGGAUUAGAUACCCGCGUAGU